GUAUCCAGAUAUUUCGUGUUGAAGAGACCCCGUAGAAGAUGAGAGGGCACAACCAUGGGUGUCUAUCAUUGUCCCGGUCUCGGAAUCAGUCUUUUUUCUCUCUCGAUUUUGCAGGCCUCGCAAGUUGGGAAAUGGAUCAAUAAGGGAUUGAGUUGAAACCUUUUAUUUUGUAGUUGUGUGUAUGGAAGCCAAAAAACCUGGUCAAACUGAUGGAAGUUGGUUGGGUCUGUGGUUUAAUAAGUCUAAUCAUAUAGUCGGUUGGUUUAAAAAAAAUGAAAACUGGUUUACAAAAAAUAUAACACGAAUUGAAAUAAAAUAAUUUUUAUUUGACUUAUAUGGCAGAGUUUGUUCAGUUUCAAGCAUUGUUGAUCUACCUGUGAUUUCUUGACACCUUCCAAAAUCAUAUUCUACAACUUGCUGUAGCUUUGAUAGUCUUUGCUUAGGUGUUUCGGCUAAGCUUUGAUACCCACAUUUUGCAGGAUUUGUAUAUAGGAGAGGCACCUUACCACUAGGUAGGGGU
This 520-nucleotide long non-coding RNA is filed under the name Helianthus annuus (common sunflower). Lineage: Eukaryota; Viridiplantae; Streptophyta; Magnoliopsida; Asterales; Asteraceae. The record is from RNAcentral.